AACCAAUCGCUGAAGUUAAACGUCACGCUAGUUGCCCAAUCGACGAUGCCUACGCAGACAGCGACCAAUUAGGAGGCAAGUGGGCGUAUUCUGGCGCACUAAAUAUACAUUGCCAUUGCGCUAUAAUCCCCCACUCUUCCUUCCUGUCGCUUCUCUUUUGUUUCUGCUGUUGUUGAGUUAACAUCGGGGAGAGUCACCAUGCACAAGUCCGAGGCACCCAAGGAACCUGAGCAACUACGCAAGCUGUUUAUUGGAGGCCUGAGUUUUGAAACAACUGACGAAAGUCUCCGUGAGCACUUUGAGCAAUGGGGUACCCUAACAGACUGUGUGGUAAUGAGAGAUCCAAACUCAAAGCGUUCCCGUGGCUUUGGAUUUGUAACCUACUCUUCAACAGAUGAAGUAGAUGCUGCCAUGUCUGCUCGCCCACAUAAGGUGGAUGGACGAGUGGUUGAACCUAAAAGGGCUGUCUCUAGAGAAGAUUCCUCUAGGCCCGGUGCACACCUCACUGUUAAGAAAAUCUUUGUAGGUGGAAUAAAGGAGGACACGGAAGAACAUCAUUUAAGAGAAUAUUUUGAGCAGUAUGGAAAAAUUGAAGUUAUUGAGAUAAUGACAGACAGAGGCAGUGGCAAGAAGAGAGGCUUUGCAUUUGUCACAUUUGAAGAUCAUGAUUCAGUUGACAAGAUUGUCAUCCAGAAAUAUCACACUGUCAACAACCACAAUUGUGAAGUGAGGAAGGCCCUCUCAAAACAGGAAAUGGCUAGUGUUUCUGGCAGUCAGCGAGGACGUGGUGGCUCUGGGAACUUCAGUGGUCGCGGUGGGUUUGGUAAUGACAACUUCGGUGGUCGCGGUGGAAACUUUAGUAGCAACAGAGGUGGUGGAUUUGGUAACAGAGGUUAUGGUGGAGAUGGCUACAAUGGCUUUGGUAAUGAUGGUGGUUACGGUGGCAGCCCUCCAUACUCUGGGGGUAACAGAGGCUAUGGUGGUGGUGGUGGCCAAGGCUAUGGAGGUGGCCAAGGAGGUGGAUAUGGCGGCGGAAAUGGAGGUUAUGAUGGCUAUAAUGGUGGAGGCAGUGGCUUCGGUGGCUCUGGUGGUAACUUUGGUGGCAGUGGUGGUGGUGGCGGUGGAUACAAUGACUUUGGCAACUACAACAAUCAGUCAUCAUCCAGCUUUGGCCCAAUGAAAGGUGGCAAUUAUGGUGGCGGCAGGAAUUCUGGACCAUAUGGAGGUGGCUAUGGCGGAGGGUCUGGUAGCAGCAGUAGCGGAUAUGGCGGUGGGAGGAGGUUUUAAUUUUUCUACAGGAAGCAAUGCUUAGCAGCAGAGGACAGCCAGGCAAGCGACAGGUUACUACAAAAGUUGAAUUCAGCCAAGCACAGGUGUGGCAGGGCAUAGCUGCUACAUGAAGAAAUGUUAGCGAAUCAGUAACCAAUGAGGAAAACACAGGACUAUUUGUGACACAUUAAUUGUAUGAAGAAAUAAGUUUUUUGUUGUGAGCAUGUAAAACAGUUAAUUUUUUAAUGUAUAGGUUCCAUUAUAUGAAAGUUGCUUUUUAUUUUUUUUCACUGUGGUCAUGCUGUUGAACUGUACAAAUCUUGGUCAUGACUAAAUAAAUUGUCCCCUUUUUUAAACGUGUAGGUGUAACUUUGAAGUGUAGAUUUGAUGUAGGAGACUUGUAUUUGCUAGCAGCUUGCCAUUACUGGUAUGAUACAAACAGUGCUUUCUAGAACCUUUGGUUAGUGAGUCUUGUUCUUAGGAACAGGGUGCAACUAGUACAGCUGUACAGCUUUACUGCUAGGCUGACCUUUAUAAAGCCUAGCUAAACUUCAGCUUCUUAAAUGGAUUCCAUAUUUCGGCCAAGCUUGUGUUUACUUUUGGAUGGAUAUCUUAUGCAAUUGAAGUUGGUCUUCAGUCUGCUUGUCAGGGUCACUGAACAUAGUAUCAAAGUCAGUGUGGAGGGGGGACAGGGUUGUAUACUGGUAAUCUUAUCUACCUCGCAAGAACCAGAACAUUGGGGUAGCUUCAGUUUUCUGUUUGCCUGCCUAGCUUAAGCAGAUAUUUUAGACUCAGACUUGCAUGCAAGCCGGAUGAAUAAAAUGCAAAUGAAGGGAGAGGGCAGAGGGAAGACAUGCACAGAACCAGUUCUCUUGGGCAGAAUGCAAGUCCCUUCAGAAGAGAAAGCUAUAGCAGUGUUGAUACUGGUCUGUAGCUUCAGAACUAUAAAAUUAGUUACAAAAAAGUCUUUUCUGAAGGGCUGUUAAAAUUGAGACUGUUAGAAGGUAAACAUCCUCUUUAAGAAUAUUAGUUUGUGGUGUUUUGGCUGCAUUUUUUGGACGUGAAAAUUAGCACACAAACUUUAAUAAUUAAUAUGCCUGUAAGUCUGUCUAAAAGGGACUUGAGAUGUGGUAUUCAAAUCAUUUUAACACUUAAAUGAGUCCCUCUUUAUGGCAGAAGUGUAUAGAAGGGAAUCUGCCUGAACUAUUGUUUCUUGAUGGCAGUGCUAAGGACUGUGUUCAGUAAGGGCAAAGACACAAAGGGUGAUUAAUCGCCACAACUUUGAAUUUAGUCUGUCCCUGCGACUUCCCGCCCAGAGUACAACUGCGUCGCCGCGGCAAAUCACGUGUGCAGUUUUGUGGUUUGUAUUAGUCGUAGAGGUGACUAAUCACCCCAUGUGUCUCUGCCAAGUCGAGCCUCCGCUCAGUGCAGAACAGAGAUGGCUGCUUUUAAUGUAAUCUCUGGGGAUAAACAGCCUAGUGGUGCUAACACUAAGUUAUUCUACUACAUUUCUUAACUCUUGUCAGGUAGCGCUGAGGCCUAUUCUCUCUUCCAUUAUGUACAAUAAGCUGCUUUUGGUUCUUUUUCAACAUGUAGAUGUAACUUUUGGGCUAAAUCAAGAUGAUAUCUCUAAGUAUUUACUAUAGGAGACAUUAUUUUUGCUAGUGAUCUAUAGACAAAAUUUUGGGGGAGGAAUGUAUAAGAACUUAAGACAACCCUCCCUUUUUGUAGCUUUUGUAUAAGCAAGCAGUUGUACACUAAAGCAAGCAUACUGUUUGAGAACAAAUGCUUUCUAUGUUAGACCUUUUAACCCUCUAAAUGCACCACCUACACUCCAGAGCAUUCAACGUGCGCCUGUGCCUAAUGAGAGGCAGAGUAGUGAGGUGGGGUUGCCAUCUGCCGUGUAUGGCCGCUUUACUUCCUAAUGCUGGUGGCAAUCACUAUCCAGAGCCACAACCUCUGGUUGAAUGCCCCAGGGACAGUAAGUUAAAAUUGCCAACCCUGCAAAUAUUGCUCAGUUGGUUUGUAUUAGCAUGUUGGCAUUCUUGCUAUGUUUAAGUCUGCAUUGAAACUGACUGGAGACUCCAGUUGCUGCUGCUUAGAUGGGUAAACCCAAACAUACAAGGCAAGCUAGCGUGGUCCUUCUAAGGAUGAAGACAGUCAGAAACUGGUCGAAUAGGUAACAGGAGAGACUGCUAGCAAGCAAGAUGUUCCAGUCAGCUCAGACCAGCCUUCCGUCAGCUGAGAAAGAUUAGCCAAGCAACCAUUAAAGCAGAUCAGUGCAUACAUAACGGCUAGACAAGCUAAAGGGACUCAUCAGCUCAUCGGAAGGAGGCAGUCGAGUGCAGAAUCUUCAUAUUUAAGCCUAGCAGGCAGUUCCAGCCAGAAGGGACAGUUAUGUUACCUUUUUGUAGGAGAAUAUCCUUCGACAUGAUUAAACUGACCUGGGACCUUAGUUGGGAAGAAGUGUCCUGAUGCAGGUUUCAAGAUUACCUGAUGUGACAGAUCUGACCAACUUCCAAUUCCACAGCUACUGUGUAGCUCUGUUUUUCAAAAUAAAAGUUUUUAAUUUCCUUU
Xenopus tropicalis (tropical clawed frog) is the source of this 3846-nucleotide RNA transcript. It is a transcript of the gene named heterogeneous nuclear ribonucleoprotein A1, with no coding region annotated. The transcript is spliced from 12 exons. The record is from RefSeq and is marked provisional. Lineage: Eukaryota; Metazoa; Chordata; Amphibia; Anura; Pipidae.